Molecule: ribosomal RNA, 390 nt
Filed under: uncultured bacterium
Lineage: Bacteria
Description: bacterial SSU rRNA
Rfam family: Bacterial small subunit ribosomal RNA
Source: RNAcentral
AAUGAACGCUGGCGGCGCGCCUAAUACAUGCAAGUCGAGCGAGAAGACGUAGCAAUACGUUUGUAAAGCGGCGAACGGGUGAGGAAUACAUGGGUAACCUACCCUCGAGUGGGGAAUAACUAGCCGAAAGGUUAGCUAAUACCGCGUACGCUUCUUGGACUUCGGUUCAGGGAGGAAAGCGAUGCCGAGGGUAUCGCGCUCUUGGAUGGGCUCAUGUCCUAUCAGCUUGUUGGGAGGUAACGGCUCACCAAGGCUUCGACGGGUAGCUGGUCUGAGAGGACGAUCAGCCACACUGGCACUGCGACACGGGCCAGACUCCUACGGGAGGCAGCAGUAAGGAAUAUUGCGCAAUGGGCGAAAGCCUGACGCAGCGACGCCGCGGUGGGGGAU